AGAAAAUUAUUACAACAUCGUAAUGAUACUUGAGCUCCUUUCUUCUCCUCUUGUGACACAUGAUUGAAAUCCAACAACUUGAAGGUAUUGUUUAACACUAUAGGACCCACCAUUGUCUCCAUAAUCGCAAUCACAUUAGGUUUAUGCAUGGUUAUAUAUUGCUCCAAACUAGACGCUCCACGACAAUUCCACACCUUUUAUUUUAAUCAUUUUGUGUAUUCAUGAGAAAAUUAAUCCAGAAUAAUGUUUUUCACACCCUAUUCCUAUUGGGCCAAGUCAGGGGUUUCAACAACUAUUUUCAUCUCUUCACCAUGACACCAUCCUUAUUGGGCUUAUCACUGCUUAAAAUGAUGUUUUCUCUUCCCACCUCCCGUGAAUCUUUUAUACCCCCAAUAUUCUAAUUUUGCCCUUGCAGAAAAAUUCGGUUCGCAUAAACCGAUUUUUUACUAGUGCAAAUUCAGAGUAAAUUUUGAUUUUUAAAAACCGAAAUUUGUUUUCAAGGCAAAAAAAACUUCGGUUUCUACGACCCGAAGUUUUUUCAAGGGCAAAAUUGGAAAUUCAGGGGAUAAAAAAUUCACCGGAGGUGGGAAGAGAAAACAUCGGUUAAAAUUAUUUUCUUAUAGAGUGAUGUAUCUGUAUAGAGUGUACAAAGUAAAAUUUUGUGAAAUAAUUAUUUAAUCCAACAAUCUAAACAAGUGCACCAUGCAAGACAUGUGAAGGUCUUGCCAUAACUUUACAUCUUGAAACGAAUAAUUGUGUAAUUGUGAAAUUCUAUGUACGAAUCUCGACUUAUGUAUAUUGUAAUGUUCCUGUCAAGAUAUAUGAUUAUCUAAUGAUGGGUAUAUGUAUGUUUCUAACAGUUUUUAGAUAAACUAAGAUCGAGACAAC
RNAcentral lists this long non-coding RNA (888 nucleotides) under Trifolium pratense (red clover). RNAcentral's name for it is "long non-coding RNA (TPRA_LNC000157)". Lineage: Eukaryota; Viridiplantae; Streptophyta; Magnoliopsida; Fabales; Fabaceae. The record is from RNAcentral.